AUGCUCACUUCAGCUGCACAUAUAUUAAAAUUGGAACAAUACAGAGAUUAACAUGGCCCCUGAGCAUGGAUAACACUAUUUUAAUUUAAAAAGUUUUU
Molecule: small nuclear RNA, 98 nt
Filed under: Macaca nemestrina (pig-tailed macaque)
Lineage: Eukaryota; Metazoa; Chordata; Mammalia; Primates; Cercopithecidae
Source: RNAcentral